RNAcentral lists this transfer RNA (70 nucleotides) under Gyrodactylus salaris (gyrodactylosis fluke). RNAcentral describes it as "tRNA-Ala". The record is from RNAcentral. Lineage: Eukaryota; Metazoa; Platyhelminthes; Monogenea; Gyrodactylidea; Gyrodactylidae.
AACAAGGUAGUUAUUAUAGGUAGAAUAAAAAUUUUGCGUAUUUUAGGUGGGUGAGGUCACCCCCUUGUUA